AUUCCCUCCCUCGGGGGGAGCUGGGACACUUCGGUAGGAGGUGGGAAGUGGGAGGAAAGGAAAAGCCAGCGCCGUCGGCGUUCUGCGGCCGAAUUAACCGCACACCGCUUCCGGCGCGUUCCCGUGGUUGCCGCUAUCAACUUCCGGACAGUGGUUGGCUGGGAGGGUGCGAAGUUGUCAGGAGCGACUGGUGGCGGGGAGCUGCUGCGGAAGCCGCCAUGUCAGCCAAAGUGGGCGACAGGCACCAGGCACCAGCAGGUAUGCUAUUGGAGGUAUUGGUUCCAAACUUCCAUGUCUUCGCUUUGUGGCUCAAGGAAAACACCUUGACUGAGCAGUGGAGAGCACCCUGUGCUGCUGUGAACCUCUGUGGCUGAAACUGCCCCAAGGAGAAGCAAGAUUUGGCUAUGGUUUCUUAACUGACAUUGCAUAAACUUAUUUGCAUUUACAGUGCAUAAAACCAGACCGGCUGGACUUAUUAUUUAGGGUCAACUCCACUGUCAGCAACUAUAGAGGAUGGAGACAGUGGGUUGUUUGACAGUGACAAUGUACAGCUAUGACUUUGCUUUGACUAUGUGCAGCUGUGAUCCUACAGCAAAGAGGAAAAUAACUUUGAGGGAGUAUGAGAAGAAACCUGGAUGAAACAGAAACAAAGGAAUGUGAUCUAACCUCUAGAAGAUAAGGAAACAGCGUGAACAGUGUUGGGGUCUGCAGACAAGUUAGUUGACUUCAAAGACUUAGCCGUGUACCUUUAAGACAGCCACAAAUUGUCAGGUAUGUAAACAGGAUGUGAAGAACCCGAACUUAGAACCGCAGCAUACGGGCACCUACAGCAACAGCAAAUAGCAAGCAAGAAGAAGGACACAAAAAC
Long non-coding RNA from Falco peregrinus (peregrine falcon), 868 nucleotides. RefSeq lists it as uncharacterized. The record is from RefSeq and is a predicted model, not a curated record. The transcript is spliced from 2 exons. NCBI's taxonomy places the organism in Eukaryota, Metazoa, Chordata, Aves, Falconiformes, Falconidae.